Molecule: ribosomal RNA, 253 nt
Filed under: uncultured bacterium
Lineage: Bacteria
Description: partial 16S ribosomal RNA
Rfam family: Bacterial small subunit ribosomal RNA
Source: RNAcentral
UACGUAGGUGGCAAGCGUUGUCCGGAUUUACUGGGCGUAAAGAGCGCGCAGGCGGUCGUUCAAGUCGCGUGUGAAAGCCCCCGGCUCAACUGGGGAGGGUCACGCGAUACUGAUCGACUGGAAGGCAGGAGAGGGUAGUGGAAUUCCCGGUGUAGUGGUGAAAUGCGUAGAUAUCGGGAGGAACACCCGUGGCGAAGGCGGCUCUCUGGGACGGUACUGACGCUGAGACGCGAAAGCGUGGGGAGCGAACAGG